GACGAACGCUGGCGGCGUGCCUAACACAUGCAAGUCGAGCGAACAGACGAGGCGCUUGUGCCUUUCACGUUAGCGGCGGAGGGGAGAGAAACACGUGUAUAACCUCCCUAUAAGACGGGGAUAACUUCGGGAAACGGGCGCUAAUACCGGAGAAUAUACUGAACCGCAGGGUGGAAUGGAGAAAGUCGGCUUUGGGGGCACGUAUAGCUGGUUCUGCGCUGCAUUAGCUAGUUGGUAAGGUAACGGGUUACCAAGGCAACGAGGCGUAGCCGAGCGGUGAGGCGGGUCGCCCACACUGGAGCUGAGCCGCGGACCUGGCUCCUGCGGGAGGCCGCAGUCGGGAAUGGUCCGCAGAGGGCGAGAGCCUUGCAGAACGGCGGCGCGUGAGUGGUGAAAGUCUUCGGUUCGUGAAGCUCUGUUAUUGGUGGUAAACAGAUGUGGAAGUAGCUGUAGACGUCGUGACGGUACCGGGUCAAAAAGCCCCGGCUAACUACGUG
This 497-nucleotide ribosomal RNA is filed under the name uncultured bacterium. Its description in RNAcentral is "partial 16S ribosomal RNA". It matches the Rfam family "Bacterial small subunit ribosomal RNA", at positions 28 to 507 of the family's 1533-position model. The record is from RNAcentral.